This is an RNA transcript of Zea mays, 937 nucleotides long. It is a transcript of the gene named protein-like pseudogene, with no coding region annotated. The transcript is spliced from 3 exons. Lineage: Eukaryota; Viridiplantae; Streptophyta; Magnoliopsida; Poales; Poaceae. The record is from RefSeq and is marked validated.
UUGACCACCGUCCGGGCGCCUAGGCGACGCCUAGGCGACGCCUUAAGAACAGAGGUCUUACAUAUUAUCCCGUUUGUACUCCUUUGUGCAGGCUUUUUUAGCAGCCAUAGUCCACUUAACCAAUAUGAAACGGUUCCUUUCAAAAAUGGGAUUGGCUUGCCAUAUUGCGGAAAUUCAUAGCCAGGUUCUGCUCCUUGUCCAUAUCAAAGGUGGAGUUGAUGCAGCUGCAGCUCUUUCUUUUCUUGUACUGGUCUGAGCUCAAGGGUAAGGUUACUACUGGCCUGGCGUUGGUUCUGAGCCCAUAUGGUGGCACCCCGGUCGCCUCUGAUAUCUUUCGAGAAGGCCUGAUCCCUGAAAAGGAUACAAGGAGGAUCAUGGAGCUCAUGACGAACAAUUGCAGGGUGACAUCAGGGCCUUGGAGCACGCCUCACACAUGUUAAGACAAAGGACUGCAUCACCAAGCACAAACUUCCCGUCGGUGAGCUCUUCAAAGGACUUCAUCGAUGUGUCGGCAGCCAUGGUGGUCAUGGGCUUACGGCCCUCCACCUGCGGCUGCACUAUGGGGAGAGGAGCACCGGGCUGGUGACGAGGCGUGAUGCCGAGGUGCCUGGGUUGGUGGUGGUGAGGCCCGAGAGAAGGCUGGACCACGCGUGGAUGGUUUACCCCACGCUUAAGAUGUGUAGCGAUGAGGCCGAUGCAAGCGAGAUGUGUGCGAGGCUCUGCUGGCCUUGCUCGUUGAGAUCGACAGGAAGAAAUUUGGCUGGCCGUCUGGUCAUGUUGGAGUCCUCGAUGGUUUUGGUUAUAGAUGCAAAUGUGUCGAACCAGAUAGCACAUGCUACAAAUGAUCGAUUUGUUUCCUUUGUUCAAAGCAAAUAUACUGUGGCAAUAUGCUACUUGGCUAUGUAAUGUUCUUCACAUUUUAACUUAGUUCUAUUUG